AAAAAAAAAAACACGUAGAUAACCUACCUAUAAGACUGGGAUAACUUCGGGAAACCGGAGCUAAUACCUGAUAAUAUAUUGAACCGCAUGGUUCAAUAGUGAAAGACGGUUUUGCUGUCACUUAUAGAUGGAUCCGCGCCGCAUUAGCUAGUUGGUAAGGUAACUGCUUACCAAGGCAACGAUGCGUAGCCUACCUGAGAGGGUACGAGGUCAAAUUGGAAAUGAGACACGGGAGAGACUUUGAAGGGAGGCAGGAGUAGGGAAGUUGCCGAAAUGGGCGAAAGGAGGACGGAGUAAAGCUGAGUGAGUGAUGAAUUUCUUUUUUUUUU
RNAcentral lists this ribosomal RNA (329 nucleotides) under uncultured bacterium. RNAcentral's name for it is "partial 16S ribosomal RNA". It matches the Rfam family "Bacterial small subunit ribosomal RNA", at positions 100 to 426 of the family's 1533-position model. The record is from RNAcentral.